AAUGUCAGAUUUCUCUUCUCUGUUUCCAUCUUUUAAUUAGUUUUGUCUCUUCCUCUUUUCUUCUCUCAGCUGAGCUCGACCAAACGCAGUAAAAGCUGCCAGAUGACGAGGAAACUGGAGUUCCUGUGUGUAAAGCUACAAACCGCAGCGAAGACGAGUUCGGUGGAUGCUGGAGAGAAGCGGCUGGUGACCUGACCUGAUCUGACACGGAGACCAGCAGACCAGCCUGUCCAGGUCUUCCGUCUCCGGCUGCUCCACGUCUCUGUCCUUCGGCCUUUUAUGAGACGAGGGCUUCGCGUCCCCAUCUGGUGAAGGAAUGAUGAAGAAGAGGAAGAGAGGAGCAGCAGAGAAAGGACAGACUCAGAGAUGUCCGCUUUGGGAGGAUGUAAAUGACUCCGAUCGCAUCGUACUCGAGGAUGAAAGAUGGACGUAAUCAAUAAAGAUGAUAAGUCAG
Molecule: long non-coding RNA, 454 nt
Organism: Scatophagus argus
Lineage: Eukaryota; Metazoa; Chordata; Actinopteri; Scatophagidae
Exons: 4
Source: RefSeq, a predicted model, not a curated record